This 1195-nucleotide long non-coding RNA is filed under the name Nicotiana benthamiana. RNAcentral describes it as "long non-coding RNA (NBEN_LNC008372)". The record is from RNAcentral. Lineage: Eukaryota; Viridiplantae; Streptophyta; Magnoliopsida; Solanales; Solanaceae.
UAGCAUGCGCCGAGUGAUAUGAUGAAUCUUUCUUUUAAAAAAGGUUUUCAACUUGUGAUAAAUUCAAAAUUCCUUCUAAAUAGGUCUAAUUGAUUGUUUUCUAAUUUCCCUUAAGUUAAAACAUUUUCCAUCUUUUUGACUCGGUUCAUUCAUAACAAAUCUCUAACCUCUGAUUCCUUGGUUGUUAAUUGAUUUUCUUUCUACAACUGUGUAUUUCAAAAGUCCUAUCCUUAAAUAACCUUUAUGUAUUUGCUCCUAAUUGCAUGCUUUACACAAAGGGUUUAUUCAAUUCCUUUCCUUAAAUGGUUUUACCCGUUUGAAUCUGAAUCCCUUAAUUAAGAGAAGUCUUGUGUAAUUUAUUGACAAUCAGUUUUCAAACUAUUUUCUUACCUUAUUUAUGCCUGCUUUCUGCACUAUAAAAUCCCUUAAUUAAGGGAAGCCUUGUGUUAUCGAUUGAGAAUCAAUUUUCAAACUAUUUUUCUUACCUUAUUUUUGCCUGCUUUCUGCAUUAUAAAAGGCACGACCCUUUUUCACAAAGACAGACUUCGGACUUCACAAUUUCACAAUCUCUUCUGAACUCACACUUAUAGUAUUCGGUCUUCCUGUUUGCACUUUGUCUUUUACAAGUCUACUGCUUUUUCUACUUGUUUCUUUGAAACUGGUAUGUCCUAAUUUAAGUUACAGCAUCACCCCAAUAUGUUUACUUACAAUAUUUGUAUCCAUGUCUACUUUAUUGUUUUCUGUAGAUUUCACAUUCAGCUUAGUAUGCCUAUGUUCUACUGCUUGUUUCUGUUGUGAUGGCUCCCUAUCUCAUUACCCUUAUGUGUUUGUGAGUGGUGACUUAGGGCAUGGCAAAUGUGUUGUUGUCCGUGAACUGAGUCUUGCAAACUCCCCAUUCCGUAUAUCCCUAUGUGUUCCCCUUUUCCCCUUUAGGAAUUCUGCACUUGCACUCUUUCUCUUAGUUCCUAAGUUCUGCCCCCUCUUGUGGGCCUUGCCUUGGGACCUUGACUUCCCUCUGAACAUGGACACCUGAGGGCUAGCCCUUCCACACUACACUUUUGCUUAAUAUGGUGAUACAUUUAGGUGUAAUCACUGCCCGAAGUUCUUAUGAAACUCUUAGGGAACUCUGACACACCCAAGUGGUAGAAAGGCUUUCAAACAUGAUCUUUGGAGUCGGUUUACUUUAUACUUCAGA